Molecule: ribosomal RNA, 251 nt
Filed under: uncultured bacterium
Lineage: Bacteria
Description: partial 16S ribosomal RNA
Rfam family: Bacterial small subunit ribosomal RNA
Source: RNAcentral
UACAGAGGGGCAAGCGUUGUUCGGAAUUACUGGGCGUAAAGGGCGCGUAGGCGGCCUUCUAAGUCGAACGUGAAAUCCCCGGGCUCAACCCGGGAACUGCGUCCGAUACUGGAAGGCUUGAAUCCGGGAGAGGGAUGCGGAAUUCCAGGUGUAGCGGUGAAAUGCGUAGAUAUCUGGAGGAACACCGGUGGCGAAGGCGGCAUCCUGGACCGGCAUGACGCUGAGGCGCGAAAGCCAGGGGAGCAAACGGG